AACUGCUAUUGAAGAUCUAACACUGAUUGCUAGCAGUAAAAGUGCUCCCUAGACGGACAGCAAUAAUAAAAACAGGCCACCAUUCAGGGUCCAUCUAGCUAUUGCUUUUAAAGAUUGAUUCCUAAAGCUCUUCUUUAAAGAAGGGACGGUAUAGAGGAAGAGGUGAGCAGCUGGAAAGUACAGAGCCACCUUUUCUCACGACCAUGGAGCAACUCCAUUUGAGCAGUGCAUACAGACAACUCACUUAACAUGAAACCUGCUGAUACAGAGUUAAGCUACUGACAAGAGACAGACACUAUUUGUUGGGAAAAUCUGCAUGGUAGAGAAAUACUGUGCUAAGAUGUGUGUGGUUUUCUUUCUCCCCUUGCCUCUGGAGAAGUGCAAAUGUUCAAACAUGAAGGACUGCUGCCAAUUCUGUUUAAUUCAAAGACAUCACUCCAGUGUACCUGAAAGGAAAACUUGGAAUGUCAGUGCAUGGGUCAGAAGGAAACCUGGGUGGUAAUUACAAGGUGUUGUGAAAUGUCGUGUCAAUUAAAUAGCGUCUACUAAUCACACAGAAAAGUACCGCAAGCUCCUGUCACAAAGUUGUUUGUUGUGCAGUACAUUGUUGAAGCGUAAGCAAAUGGGAGCACUCAGGUAGCCUUUUCCAUUCUUGCUCAGGAAAAGGCAGCUGAAUAAAAUAUUGCCCUGUAC
This 693-nucleotide long non-coding RNA is filed under the name Struthio camelus australis. RNAcentral's name for it is "lncRNA (ENSSCUG00000002236.1)". Lineage: Eukaryota; Metazoa; Chordata; Aves; Struthioniformes; Struthionidae. The record is from RNAcentral.